Molecule: ribosomal RNA, 305 nt
Filed under: uncultured bacterium
Lineage: Bacteria
Description: partial 16S ribosomal RNA
Rfam family: Bacterial small subunit ribosomal RNA
Source: RNAcentral
ACAGCAGCAGCCGCGGGAAUACGGAGGGUGCAAGCGUUAUCCGGAUUUAUUGGGUUUAAAGGGUCCGUAGGCGGAUCUGUAAGUCAGUGGUGAAAUCUCACAGCUUAACUGUGAAACUGCCAUUGAUACUGCAGGUCUUGAGUAAAUUUGAAGUGGCUGGAAUAAGUAGUGUAGCGGUGAAAUGCAUAGAUAUUACUUAGAACACCAAUUGCGAAGGCAGGUCACUAAGAUUUAACUGACGCUGAUGGACGAAAGCGUGGGGAGCGAACAGGAUUAGAUACCCGCGUAGUCCCUGUCUCUUAUCC